CGGACGGGUGAGUAACGCGUGGGUAACCUGCCUUAUACAGGGGGAUAACAGUCAGAAAUGGCUGCUAAUACCGCAUAAGCGCACAGAGCUGCAUGGCUCAGUGUGAAAAACUCCGGUGGUAUAAGAUGGACCCGCGUUGGAUUAGCUAGUUGGUGGGGUAACGGCCCACCAAGGCGACGAUCCAUAGCCGGCCUGAGAGGGUGACCGGCCACAUUGGGACUGAGACACGGCCCAAACUCCUACGGGAGGCAGCAUG
RNAcentral lists this ribosomal RNA (256 nucleotides) under uncultured bacterium. Its description in RNAcentral is "partial 16S ribosomal RNA". It matches the Rfam family "Bacterial small subunit ribosomal RNA", at positions 99 to 353 of the family's 1533-position model. The record is from RNAcentral.